UGGCCGAGUGGUUAAGGCGGCGGCCUGCUAAGCCGUUGGGCUAUGCCCGCGAGGGUUCGAAUCCCC
RNAcentral lists this transfer RNA (66 nucleotides) under Perkinsus olseni. RNAcentral describes it as "tRNA-Ser". It matches the Rfam family "tRNA", at positions 8 to 62 of the family's 71-position model. From Rfam's summary of the family: Transfer RNA (tRNA) molecules are approximately 80 nucleotides in length. Lineage: Eukaryota; Perkinsozoa; Perkinsida; Perkinsidae. The record is from RNAcentral.